Long non-coding RNA from Acromyrmex echinatior (Panamanian leafcutter ant), 802 nucleotides. RefSeq lists it as uncharacterized. NCBI's taxonomy places the organism in Eukaryota, Metazoa, Arthropoda, Insecta, Hymenoptera, Formicidae. The record is from RefSeq and is a predicted model, not a curated record.
CACGUUCGUAAGAGAUCAAGCAGAGUUCGAUGACAAGCAGCGGAAAUCGCGAUUUCUUUCUCUCGACUCACCGCGAUGACGUCGAUGCAUCGCAAAAGUAUAGACGGUAAAAUCCGUCCGGCAUUAACGAGUUUAUUCGCUCGCAUCAAGAAUAGGUAGGAAUGUGAAGAAGAGAGCUUCUCGCCCUGUUUCACCUGCACGUUUCGUCGAGAGCAUGGAAAGAGGGGUGGGAAACUAAAGAAGACACCUACCUUCAUAGGGAAACGACAUAACUUCACGUCGCGCCCUAAACGUCCCCACCCCUGAGAGAUCGUGAAGGACUUUUGAAGUUAAAUCGGAUCGAGAUUAUAUGGCUCGAUAUCGUUCAUGAUGGAACGCAGCCUAUUCUUUGGGGAUUAACUGAUUUUGACAGCCGCCAUAGUUAUCGUGCUUUUAUACAUACCGCUCUGUCAUUGUCACUAUUUUGUCAGAUUGUCGGCACGUUAAAAAUCGGGUACUGUUGUAGAUCUCGUAGAUCUCGGGAGAAGCAUCCAUAACUGACGAACCGUGAAAUCACAAUUUGCUCGCAGAUUAUGUUCGCUGAUCGUCGAAGUUUGAGAAGCGUGAAACCGAGAGGGUGGAGCGUGACGCCACUUGAUGCCGCUACUCAAGUAGCACGUGUAUUUUCACACUAUUGAGCUUGUUGUAAGUUAAAAUAUCUAAGAGGUAAAUAUCUAUCCAAUUAAAAAGGAUACAGGUGAACAUAUGCAAGUGAAUAUUGUAAUUUGAUAAUUAAUGUGAUAUAUUACUAUUACUGAAUAAA